AUUUGGUGGGGCGUUCUUUCUUGUUUGUUAUUAUAUUUUUGUUCUCCUCUUUUCCCUUUUGACCUUGUCAUUCACCUUAAGAUGGUUUGUUGGAAUGCAGCUGCAGGAAGUUAUUGAUGAAGAUGAUGAAAAGCUGAAAAAUCUAAAGAAUGAGCUUGGUGAUGAAGUGUGCUCUGCUGUGACAAUUGCCUUGAUGGAGACAAAUGAGUACAAUCCCAGUGGUAGGUACGUAACACCAGAAGUUUGGAAUUACAAGGAAGGGAGGAAAGCAACACUACGCGAAGGGGUAGAUUAUAUAGUUAAGCAGUGGAAAGUGAAAAGGGGAAAGAGAAGCUACUGCACGUUUUGAGAGGUUGAGUUUUUCAUUUGUCUGACAUAGAAAACAACAUUGUAGCUUCUUUUUCGACAGAGAGAUAUAGGCUUAACAAUCCGUUCUAUGGGCGAGCCGCGCUAACAUUUUGAAAAGUUGCAACAUAUGACAUUUGAGAGAGGUUGAGUUUUUUCUUUUCUUUUCAAAAGAUAUUUAGAUGGUCAUACCACAUGUUUUCAUGGCAGUUCCUUAAUUCCAAAUGUUAUAUCCAUACAAAGUAUUAUAUAAGAGAAUUGGACAAGUUUUGGUUUGUGGCUGUCCAUUGCUAGAUUGUUGUCGUGUUGCCGAAAAUGACCUUGAUUCCAUUGGGUUUGCUUUUGUUUGUUGCUGGUGUUUUUUGAUAAUUUUGGUCUUUGCAAGUUGGUGGUGGUUUUAUGGCUAGUCUGAGUGCUUUUCCUGCUCCACCGUAUGUACUUCUCUGAGUAGAAAUGAUGAGAGUGGUUGGAAUAGUGUACUUGUUGCUUGUGCACUAAGAAUAGAGAAUACAUGUCAUAUAUAAAGCCUGGUUCUUUCUCUCAUAUUUUCCUUGGCCCUCAUGUUCUUCUCUGGGCUGGUUUGGAGGCUUGUUUCGUGUUUGGCUUCUUUUGACACUCAGCCAGCACAAUUAAAGAAAAGUUGGGUUCUUUAUCAUCGCGAGUGAAGCAAUUGAUUUGAAUAACAGCAAUUGAUGGCAACACCUGAGAUCAAAAUUAAGCCCUCGACGGAACCUGGUAUCACGACAUUAAAGGAUGAUUGUAUUAGUGUGAGGUGCUCAACUCCUGAGAAGCUCUUUGGUAGAUGACCAAUUUGGGGUUCAAUUUGUUGUGAUGAUGACAUGUGUUAGAUAGAUGAUAAGGAUGAUCUUGUAGUUUGAGCAUCUAUGAAGUUUGAUUCUGCUUUACUUUCGGAUGAUAAUAAAUCUGGGUUCGCCUCUAUGAUAUUCUAGGUAAGCUCUCU
Long non-coding RNA from Rhododendron vialii, 1306 nucleotides. RefSeq lists it as uncharacterized. Lineage: Eukaryota; Viridiplantae; Streptophyta; Magnoliopsida; Ericales; Ericaceae. The record is from RefSeq and is a predicted model, not a curated record. The transcript is spliced from 3 exons.